GACGAACGCUGGCGGCGUGCUUAACACAUGCAAGUCGAGCGAGACCCCGCUUUCGGGUGGGUGUUCUAGCGGCGAACGGGUGAGUAACACGUGGGCAACCUGCCCUCAGCUCUGGGAUAACUCAAGAAAUUGGGGCUAAUACCGGAUAUGACCGCUGACCGCAUGGCCUGGUGGUGGAAAGAUUUAUCGGCUGGGGAUGGGCCCGCGGCCUAUCAGCUUGUUGGUGGGGUAGUGGCCUACCAAGGCGACGACGGGUAGCCGGCCUGAGAGGGUGACCGGCCACACUGGGACUGAGACACGGCCCAGACUCCUACGGGAGGCAGCAGUGGGGAAUAUGGCGCAGUGGGCGAAAGCCUGACGCAGCGACGCCGCGUGGGGGAUGACGGCCUUCGGGUUGUAAACCUCUUUCAGCAGGGACGAAGCGAAAGUGACGGUACCUGCAGAAGAAGCACCGGCCAACUACGUGCCAGCAGCCGCCGUAA
RNAcentral lists this ribosomal RNA (482 nucleotides) under uncultured bacterium. RNAcentral's name for it is "partial 16S ribosomal RNA". It matches the Rfam family "Bacterial small subunit ribosomal RNA", at positions 28 to 523 of the family's 1533-position model. The record is from RNAcentral.